Molecule: long non-coding RNA, 2664 nt
Filed under: Limulus polyphemus (Atlantic horseshoe crab)
Lineage: Eukaryota; Metazoa; Arthropoda; Merostomata; Xiphosura; Limulidae
Description: uncharacterized LOC111087136
Source: RNAcentral
AUUGCCUGUUUUUAUCACUGAGCUAUAUAUAACUGGAAAGGACAGCCAACAAUAAUGGAUAUUUCUUUCUGUAACCAGCAGAAGUUAGGUGUUGUCCAUUUUUAGCACACACAAAUGAACAGUUACAUUUACGUUGCUUAUUCCAUGCUGUGCAGUAUAUAAUUGCCACAACUGGUUGGAAGAUAAGAAAAAACUAAACUGGAAAUUUGUUUCAUAGACUUCCAGUAACAAAUCCACAAAGACUAAGCAAAUGAAUUGCAAACAUGAACAGGGAUUAUGGACACCAAGAAGUCAUAGCUUAUUGUGCUCUAGACUAUGUUUACACUUUGAAGAAAAGAAUUUUUAUCAGACUGGACAGGUUGAGGGAGCAUGAGGAACCAACUAUUUCUGAUUUUCCACCCCAUCUUCAGAAAUUAGACCUCAAAGAAGAGAAAGGCUCCCACAGAAAGGAAUGCUGGCUCUUCAAAACAUCACCCAGACACUGUUUCAUAUACUGAGGAAAGAUCUGCAGAUCCUAUCAGUGCUUCAUCUGAUCAUAAUUAUUAUUUGGCCUCUCCAAACAAGUUACACAAGAAGUACUUGUCAACUACUUAUAAAUUGGAAGACAAAAGAAAAAAAAAGCUCAAGAUGGAACAGCAAAAGACCAGAAAACAGAAAAUUAAAGUUAGUCACUUCACUAAUGUCAUUGACUCCAUCAAGAACCAUGGUUUGAUGUGCUGAAAUUCUUGAGGCCACUUUCAGUGGAGUGCCAAAAGUACUAAUGCAAAGACUUCUAAAGAUCAACUAGAGGUUGGUACAUUCCCCAUUGAACUGCCAUGACACUACAAUUUUAUUCUACAAAGGCAUAUGAACUUUUACGGGAAACACUUGACCUGUAUUUGCCAAGUAUCAGGAUAAUUAAGUGCUUGUACAGUGUCAUUGAUGGAGAACCUGGAUUUAUACGUGCAACAUUUGAAGACUUGGCAGUAAAGGUUAAGGAGAACAAAGAAAAACAAAUGGAGACUUUGUGUUCCCUAAUACUUGAUGAAAUGAAUAUUAGGAAGCAUAAUAAGCACAAAGGGAAGUUCUAUAGAUUUGUUGACAUUGGCUCACCAGCAAUGGAAGUUUAAGAAGAUGCUUUUGUACAGAUGAUGGUAUCUUUGAAUGAGAGCUGGAAAGUUCCAUUAGGCAUUGGACUAAUAAAGAAAGAUGGAACAAGCUGAUUUCUUCUGGUUUGGAGUAUAUAGAAGAUUUUAAACUCCUGAAUCGACAAGAGUUAUUGAUGGUAGGAAACAUGUUGGUAUUCUUGGCUGUAUUCAUAAGUGUGAGGAAUUUAUUCAAUAGUCUAGUGAAAGGUAACUGUGAUGGUCCUCUUAGAUACCUCCUUACCUUUUUUUCUCCUCAAUAAGAACUGCAGGUGGAUUCCACAGCAAUCCAACAGAUGUUUAACUUAUAUCUGCAUACAAAUGUCUUUUUAGUGAGACAAAAUAUUAAAUGUACAGGCAAUGGAAACUGUGUUUCCCAAGAUAAAACAAAUAUCCUUUCAGUGCUCUGUGUCUGUCAAGUUGUGGAUGGAAAUGUCAUCAGCAUUACAGAAGUGUUGAUUGCAAAGAAACGCAGCCUCAUCAAAGAGGAAGCUAGCUUUGAAAAUUUUGAUGACAUUUGUCUCACCCUAGCUGACUACAAGGAGGCAACAACUGCAUACAUAGCUGGCUAUGUAGCAAAAAUGGUGCACAACAAUUUCUUGUUCACAGUUCUAGGAAGCAUUAACUGAAAGAGACAAUAUUGAUCUUCACUCAGUCUUUAAGCAGAAGGAAAAGGGAUGUUUAUUCAAACCUAGUGGAAAUGUUAUAACUGUUUACCAGAUCAAAGAAAAAGUAGUAUUAAAAUUGUUUCCAAUCUUCCUCAGGGAAUUGGAGUUCUCUCAGCUGUAUCCUCAUCUGUAAUGACACAUAUUCAAGAUGUAGAUAUGUUUCUUGACUUAAACAAUCACAUGCUUGACUCAGCUGUUGGUGAUAACCAUUCUUUCAUUCUUAUCAAGUUAAUAGCAGUGCUUUUCUAAAAUUCGAAUUUGUCACCUUGGAAAACAAUAAACAGCUGAAAUUCUGGGAACAAGAGUAUGCAAGCAGUUAAACUAAAUUGGUUUCUUUUCAAUGCCAGUAGCUGUUGUUAAAUUUGUAAGAAUUUGUUUUCAAUUGUUUUCUUUCUGUUUUGAUGAAUCAUGAUUUUGAAGCAACUUUGAGAAAUAUGAAAAAAAAAUGUAUCACUACUAUAGAACAUGCAUAUUGUUUUACAUCCACACGGGUUUGCUUACAUUGCUUAAAAUAUUUUGUUUUGUAAAACUGUAAGAAGUAAUUUUUUAAAGAUAGUUUUUAUUUCUGUGUUCAGACUUCAUCUUUCUUACUGAAAAAUUGUUUCCAGUUUUAUUUGGCUACAGCUUUUAUUUCUUCUUAUUGCAAAUAGUAAAAUCUAAGUUAUACAAGUUUAAGUUUUUGGCUAUAUUAUAAAGAUUAUAUACUACUGUUGGUCCUCUCUUAUUAAAUAUUUUUUUUAAAUAUUGAUGUGCAGAUUGUUGAAACAAAUACCUCAUAGUUGUUGUGACACUACUUUAUGGGAAAAAAAAAUUAACUCUCUCAACACAGGCUUGGUCGAUUUGACUGACCACAUGACCUCUUUUGGACUCAU